This 877-nucleotide ribosomal RNA is filed under the name uncultured eukaryote. RNAcentral describes it as "SSU rRNA". It matches the Rfam family "Eukaryotic small subunit ribosomal RNA", at positions 636 to 1469 of the family's 1831-position model. The record is from RNAcentral.
CGGUGUUCAACUGGCGUGUCCGCGGGACGUCCUGCCGGUGGGCUUAGCCCGCAAGGGCGGCCCAACUUUAAAUCCCAUCGCGGUGCUCUUCACUGAGUGUCGAGGUGGGCCGGCACGUUUACUUUGAACAAAUUAGAGUGCUUAAAGCAGGCUAAAACUUCGCCUGAAUACUGUGUGCAUGGAAUAAUGGAAUAGGACCUCGGUUCUAUUUUGUUGGUUUUCGGAACCCCGAGGUAAUGAUUAAUAGGAACGGAUGGGGGCAUUCGUAUUGCGACGUUAGAGGUGAAAUUCUUGGAUCGUCGCAAGACGGACAGAAGCGAAAGCAUUUGCCAAAAACGCUUUCAUUGAUCAAGAACGAAAGUUAGAGGUUCGAAGGCGAUCAGAUACCGCCCUAGUUCUAACCAUAAACGAUGCCAGCUAGCGAUCCGUCGACGUUCCUCCGAUGACUCGACGGGCAGCUUCCGGGAAACCAAAGCUUUUGGGUUCCGGGGGAAGUAUGAUUGCAAAGCUGAAACUUAAAGGAAUUGACGGAAGGGCACCACCAGGAGUGGAGCCUGCGGCUUAAUUUGACUCAACACGGGAAACCUCACCAGGCCCGGACACCGGAAGGAUUGACAGAUUGAGAGCUCUUUCUUGAUUCGGUGGGUGGUGGUGCAUGGCCGUUCUUAGUUGGUGGAGCGAUUUGUCUGGUUAAUUCCGAUAACGAACGAGACUCUAGCCUGCUAACUAGGCGUAUUUUCGACAUCUCAAAGGUCCGUCGUCCCGGCCCUCGGGUCGUGGGCGUGCGCGAUUUUUACUGUCGGCGUACUAUCAAUUCUUCUUAGAGGGACAGGUGGCUUCUAGCCGCACGAGAUUGAGCAAUAACAGGUCUGUGAUG